AAAAAAAAAAGAGAGAGCGCAGUGAAACUGUGAAAGUAGCGCUUUCACUGACAUCUAAUUCAGGUUAGGGUUUGUGCGCGCCCUGAAGACCACAGCUCGACUUGUAUAUCAGCAUAUAUAUAUAUAUAUGUAUAUAUCUAUAGAUAUGUAUCUCCAGCUUAGAGUUUGGGGCGGUGACUGCGAGCUACAAAGAGAUGUUGUGAUAAACUAUGUUCUUGCGAGGCUUCGCACUUCCUACCACUUGAUGCAUAUCAUUUUUGCGUGCAGUGAUCUGUGGAUCUCUCUGCUCUUUCCUUUCCCCCAUUUUUACUACUGUUUCUGAACAAAUCACUCGAUUUACGAGCUUCUUUUCGUCUUCGUUUUCUAUAUCUUGUUGCUAUAUAUGUACGAGUUCAAUCAGACAUCACAUCGGAUUGCUAAUUGAUGGGGUGUAGGAGGGAAGGGAGCGAUUUCAUAGAUCACUCGCGCAAAAAUGAUAUAAUUAGUGGUCGGUAUUGCAAGCCACGGCCAUGAUCUGCAACAAUAGGAGCAGGAUAAAAUUUACCGACAUUCGUGCUAAGAUUUGUUAGUUAUGUGCUGCAGGGUUUCGAGUCCGAAUAGCACCACUGUCGUAGCAACUGUGAUAGAGGCUGCGGAGAUGCAGGGCGGCAUCAAUUGAGUUUGGCAGAUCCGUUACAGAGCUUGGAAGUGAGUCGCGCGACGAACAUUGAGCAGUUUGAUAUGCUGGCCAAGGAGGGCAAGAAGAGGGUGAGUGAAGAUGUGUCGUCGGAUUCUGCCAAGGUUGCCCUCGUAUUCCAGCUCUCUUUACAUAACCGGAGUGUUCUUGGCAGGGAGUCUUCCCUGGAACAUGUUGGAGUACAUGGGUCACACCAUUCAUGUCAACCAAGUUGUGGCUGAAGAGAUCAUUCACUGUAGGCCCAUAGUUUGGCACUGGACCCGAUCCUUAGGCCCGAUCUCAGCCCAACACCAGCGCUGCAACACUCGCAUGUCGUCAGCGCCCUCCGUGAUCCUCGCGACUGUAACAAGCCUCAUCAACUCCAAAUAUCUCAACCCCCAAUUCUCAUUAGCACCGAAAAUCUCGGCUCUCUAUCCUCUCACAAUGACCAGUGACACGCAAGGGGCUCUCCCCUUCUCUUAUAUAAAUUAGCCGACCACCAAUUAAGGUAUGUUCUUUUCAGUUUUAUAGAAACUCAUACACUCUUAAGCUCUUACUUAUUUGAGCAUUGGAGUGCUUACAGGUGCUACUCCCAUCGUGUGGAUCGCCGUUGCCUUAAGCUCCCCGUUCGAUCACCUUUUGGGCUAAAAGGAUAAUUAUUAUACUUACCAAAUUUAUCUUGUUGUUGCUGUUUGAAUUUAGGUUGACGAAAGGGUUGUGCAAACACCCCCCCCCCCC
This is a long non-coding RNA of Diospyros lotus (date-plum), 1393 nucleotides long. RefSeq lists it as uncharacterized. Lineage: Eukaryota; Viridiplantae; Streptophyta; Magnoliopsida; Ericales; Ebenaceae. The transcript is spliced from 3 exons. The record is from RefSeq and is a predicted model, not a curated record.